This 253-nucleotide ribosomal RNA is filed under the name uncultured bacterium. Its description in RNAcentral is "partial 16S ribosomal RNA". It matches the Rfam family "Bacterial small subunit ribosomal RNA", at positions 524 to 776 of the family's 1533-position model. The record is from RNAcentral.
UACAGGGGGUGCAAACGUUGCUCGGAAUCAUUGGGCGUAAAGCGCACGUAGGCGGUCUGUUAUGUCGGAUGUGAAAGCCCUUGGCUUAACUGAGGAAGUGCAUCCGAAACUGGCAGGCUAGAGUACUAAAGAGGGUCGCGGAAUUCACGGUGUAGCAGUGAAAUGCGUAGAUAUCGUGAGGAAGACCAGUGGCGAAGGCGAAUCUCUGGACAGUAACUGACGCUGAGGCACGAAGGCUAGGGGAGCAAACGGG